UAAUUUUUAUACGCCCGUCAAAAUUUUGACGGGACGUAUUAUGGUAUACAAAUGUCCGGUGUCCGUCCGUCCGUCCGUCCGUCCGUCUGUCUGUCUGUCCGGCGUAAACAUGUCGCACCGUAACUUGAGAACGACUUAUCUAAAUUUCAUGAAACUUAAUAUAGUUGUUUUUUAUGAUGGUCAAAUGAUCUGUAUACUUUUUGGUGAAAAUAAGAUUUAAACUUUUUGAGUUACGGCACUUUGUAACUAAAACAGGGGUGUGUUUUUUUUUCACAUGUCGCACCGUAUCUCAAAAACGAUUCUUGAUUAUUGCUUAAAACUUUACACACUUCUCAGUUAUAUUAAUCUUAAGAUUUGUAUACUUUUUGGUGAUGUUCAAAAUUUCAUUUUUGAGUUAUUGAGUAUUUUGUAAAAAAGGGGGAGGGGGUUUUUACAUGUCGUGCCGUAUCUCAAAAACGAUUUAUGAUUAUUGCUUAAAACUUUACACACUUCUUUGUUAUAUUAAUCUAAAGAUCUGUAUACUUUUUGGUGAUGACUCAAAAUUUUAUUUUUGAGUUAUUGAGUAUUUGGUAAAAAAGGGGAGGGUUUUUUUUCUACAUGUCGCGCCGUAUCUCAAAAACAAUUUAUGAUUAUUGCUUGAAACUGUACACACUUCUUUGUUAUAUUAAUCUAAAGAUCUGUAUACUUUUUGGUUUGAUUCAAAAUUUUAUUUUAGUGAUAUUUGUAAAAAAAAAAACAGGGUGGGGGGUUUCACAUGUCCCGCCGUGUCUCAAAAGCAAUAAAUGGUAAUUGCUUAAAACUUUCUCAGAAACUAUUUAUGAUUAUUGCAUAAAACUUCCACACAAGACGUCGGGCGUAUCAUGCGCUCAUGGCGCAGCUGUUUAUUGAUGAAAUCAUACAAAGUUUAAUUUUAGACCCUUUUGGCCCCUAAUUCGUUGGGACCAAAACUCCCAAAAUCAAUCCAAACCUUCCUUUUGUGGUCAUAAAACUUGUGAUAAAAUUUCAUAGAUUUCUAUUAACUUAUACUAAAGUUAUUGUGCAAAAAACAAGAAAAAUGCUAAUUUUGGGACCUGUUUUUGGCCCCUAAUUCCUAAACUGUUGGGACUUAAACUCCCAAAAUCAAUCCCAACCUUCCUUUUGUGGUCAUAGACCUUAUG
Molecule: long non-coding RNA, 1157 nt
Filed under: Mytilus galloprovincialis (Mediterranean mussel)
Lineage: Eukaryota; Metazoa; Mollusca; Bivalvia; Mytilida; Mytilidae
Source: RNAcentral